CUCUGACAGCUGAUUUGUUUUGACAAGAUUAAAAAAAAAACAAGAACAUACAAUACGCACAAAGUAAAUGCUUGGAUUCUUCGAAUUAUAAAAAUAAAAACAAUUAAAAACAAGAAAAAGAAGCGACAUGAAUAACCCGAAGGAAUCCGUCACUAUCCAGUUAGUACACAGAUGAAGUCAACAAUAUCCUAUGGUCGGCGAUGAGAGUGCUCCUCAGAGUGUUCUACAUAAACCGACUCCAUCCAUCAAACAAUAAUAAUGUAGAUCCGAAGAAACGCCAGGAAAACAACCACCUUAAGCCCAUGCAGCACAUAGAGUACGAUGUUCAAUAAAAGUUCCAUUUGUCGUUGAUACCAAUUGCCUCCUCCCAGCCAAAAGUAUGAUAUCCGAUGACGAAGGUGCAAGUAAUGGAAGCCAUUCAGAUAAUAAACCGAGUCAAUCACGAGUGGGUGACAACUGUAUUUGUGAAAGAUUUGUUGGGCGAUGAGCAAUGCUGGAGGAAAACAAUGACGAUGAAGUUGAAAUUAUGGAACUUUUAUUCAUUAUCAACCUGUGAUGACAGCAGCAUUUCUUUCUGAAUUUUUUACAAUUGUCAACAAGUUGCGUUGCAUUCAACGUUUCCAUGACAGUACGCAAGUUCUACACAUUUGCCCGGUGGAUCUCAGUCGGUUGACCAUAAAUUUAUUCACUCCAUCAGCACAAAAUAACCACUAUAACCAGUCCAAUUUACAGAAAUCAUAUUCGCAGUUCGCACCUACUUUUGUUGCAAAACUUCAUUGACUGCUGGUGGGAUGCUCUAACAUUGAAUGUGCUUAUGUGCAAUGGCUUGAGCAUCUAAUUCAAAGUUUGAGAAUUUAAAAUGCGCGAGUAAAAAAUGGGCGAAAAGAUACAGACGGACUGUGUUGCAAUUUACUUCGCAGAUUUGGACUUAGAAUUCGAUGGGUGGAUCCGAAUUUGACAUCAUGAAAACUGAUGCUGUUUGUCAAAUAUAUUUAUAUUCUAGCCGAACUGAAUACUUUUUUUGAUGCGUAUACCUAUUUUCGAAAUGCCACCAGAUUAGGUAUAUCGCGAUUGGACAGUUAAUAUGUUGUUGCAUUUUUUAUUUC
This is a long non-coding RNA of Episyrphus balteatus (marmalade hoverfly), 1106 nucleotides long. RefSeq lists it as uncharacterized. The transcript has 5 exons. The record is from RefSeq and is a predicted model, not a curated record. Lineage: Eukaryota; Metazoa; Arthropoda; Insecta; Diptera; Syrphidae.